RNAcentral lists this long non-coding RNA (7904 nucleotides) under Solanum tuberosum (potato). Its description in RNAcentral is "long non-coding RNA (STUB_LNC003409)". Lineage: Eukaryota; Viridiplantae; Streptophyta; Magnoliopsida; Solanales; Solanaceae. The record is from RNAcentral.
CAUAUUAAGGAAAAUAAGGAAGUUUAUGAAGGGGAGGCAAGUCCAUAGUCUAUUCCAUUUGUCGUUUCAUUUUUGCUGGUCUUUGAUCCACAAUAAUUAUCUUUAAUGUCAUUUACAUUGAAUCGAACAGUGGGGCUGUUAAAAGGGUGGGCAGGAGUGAUGCUUUUGCCACAGAUUUGAACUUGAGGCAUUGGAGUAUGUUCCACUUCCUAAAUGAGAGGUUCACAAGAAGAAGGAAAUAGUCCAAGUUCGUGGCAUUUCUUGUUUUUCUAUGACACAAAUAAUGAUUACCCUGGCAUGUAUAUACAUGUAGCUGUUUUUUUAGUUGUUUUGUUCUAUGGCUUAGCCAUGAAAUACUCUUAUUUGGGUGCUUUAAAGAUCAUAGUUGGACAAACAUCUCAAUCUUGAAUAUUCAUCUUCUGCAAUCAUUUUGUGCAGAGUGUACCUUAAUUUUUUCUCCAUCGUUGCAUCAGACUGUUCUAUUAUUUAUAUGUGGUGAGUUUCGUUUGAAUUUUGUUUCCUCUUUUGUAUCGACUAAUAUUUCACAUGUAGAGCUAUUUCUUUCUUAUCUCUCGCUCCGAUCUUUUGUAGUUCAUUGUGGGAUGAAUUGAACUGUUUUCAAUACUCUAAAAAUAAGUGUUAUCUAUCUUCUUAUAUUUCAAUACUCUGUUUUAGUUGUUGUUUUCCUUUGGGGUAUGUGUAUGUGUUCGUUAAUAAAAGUCCCUUUCCUUUGUUCUUCUUAAGAAACUAUUUUCAUAUGUCGCAAAAUUGAAUAACAUAGUGCUUUUCGAAGGUUCAAAUUCCAGUGGAGCUAGAUCAAAAUAGUAUAGGUAUUUUUCCCCUAUUUGCUUAAAGUUGGUGAGUAGAGUUGCCAGAUACUUAUGUUGGUUCAUUGUUUAGGUUAGUGUAAGGUGGCUCGGACACUGCAAUUGGACAACGCUAUGAAUAUUCUUUCAUAUUAUCUAACUCCCCAGACAUUCAAAUUUCUCCCAAGAAUAAUAUUACGUCAGUUAUUGCUUUAUAUACUUUGAUAGACAAUAACUUUCCUCCAGGUUGAACUGCUCCAAUGGAUCUAAAAUUUAAAUGACAAGCAAAACAGAUUUUUCACAAAUUACAAGACUAAAAUCUAAUUGAUUUUAUAAGCAACGAGCCAGUGUCGGCAUCCCUUUUUAAGUUUUCCCCUAUUUCCUUGCCCUUUCCCUCAAACUUUAGUCUUCAUUAUACUUUGGAUCUUUAGUCAUUAAAGUUAUCAUGAUUAAAUUGUCGAAUUUAAUGGUGGUUGACUUGACGAAAAUGAAGGUGCAAACUAGAGAUAGUUCAUAUGAUAUAUGACAUGAUAGGAUACUUUUUAUCAGAAGGUGGGUGAUUACAUCUUCAGAAGAUAAUUACUAAACCAAGUAUCAUAUUUUUUAUUCCAAUGAAACCUCAACGUUUUGCCUAGGUAUCAUGAAAGUGGAGCAUCUAAAAGUAUUCUUGGUACUAUAGUAGGGCUUUAGUAUUAUAGUAUACAGACAAAGAGUACAUAUUGUGUAAACAAAAGCAAGAUAAUGAAACAGACAGUAAACAAAAACAGAGAAAACGAGUCGAAACUUUGAGAAGAAAGGGAACUACUUUGCUGCUAGUUUUGUGCUCUGCAACUGUAGAUUUUAUAUGACAAAUACAUAACGUUUAAAGCUAAAAAAAAACUCGAACCACUAACUCCUAAAAAAUAGGAAGUAAAGCCAUGAUAAACUACUCUCUAAAGACUAGGACAAAGCUGAAAUAACUUGACCUUAUUUGCUAGUAGGACUCUAUCUAACGGACUAUUUUUCUAACACCCUCCCUUAAACUGAAAGCAUGUAAGCUUCAGUUUAACUUCAGCUUCUUGAAAUCUUCCAUAGCGUCGAUACCCAUCGACCUCCUCAGAUUUUGAAAAGGGAGAAAUUUGAGAGGUUUGGUAAAAAUGAUGGCCAACUGAUCUUCACUUCGGCAGUACUGCAACUCUAUUAUUCCUUCAUUAUUGAGAUUUCGCAGGAAAUAAUACUUCACAUCAAUGUGUAUGCUUCUUCCAUGGUUCACAGGAUUCUUUGACAACUUGAUGGCUGAAUUGUUGUCGCAAAAUAUUAUAGUGGCUCUUCUCGUCUUGAACUGUAGCUCUUUAAGGAUUCUCCUAAGCCAAAUAGCUUGACAAUCACAAGAUGUAGCAGCAACAAACUCAACUUCUGUACUUGAUAAUGUGACAAUUGUUUGUUUUUUAGAGGACCACGACAACCCCUGCACCUAGCAUAAACACAUAACCCGAAGUACUCUUUCUAUCAUCUUGAUCUCCAGCAUAAUCACUAUCAGUAAAGCCAACCAAAACUGACUUUUCUCCUUUCAUGUAGAAAAUUCCAAAAUCCUUAGUUCCUUGUAGGUAACGCAGAAUUCUCUUAGCAGCUAGGAGAUGCAUUUCAGUCGGGCACUCCAUAUAUCUACUUGCAAGACUAACAACAUACAUGAUGUCUGGUCUUGUAGCAGUUAGAUACAUUAAACUACCGAUAAUUUGCUUGUAAAAUGUGCUAUCCACCUUUUUUCCGCUCCCAGCUUUGUUAAGUUUCAAACCAAACUCAACUGGAAUGUUGGCUGGAUUGCAAUUCUGCAUCUCAAACCUAUUUAAAAUUUCUCGCACAUACUUCUUUUGAGAAACAAAUAUCCCUUCAUCAGAUUGCACCAUUUCUAAACCAAGAAAAUAAUGCAUCUUACCAAGAUCGGACAUCUCGAAUUCAUUCAUCAUACACUUCUUGAAUUCAUCAAACAUGACACUACUAUUCCCCGUGAAUAUAAGAUCGUCAACAUAUAAGCACGCGAUGAGCAUUUUUCCGUUCUCCCCAAUUUUCACAAAAAGCGUGUGCUCAUAUGAACACUUUUGAAAACCCAUUUUCAAAAAAUAAGCCUCAAUGCGGCUAUACCAAGCUCGUGGAGCUUGUCUUAGUCCAUAAAGGGCUUUCUUUAAUCGAUAAACGUUGUGCUCAUUACCAAUCUUAACAUAACCAUGGGGUUGUUCGAUAAAUACCUCUUCCUCCAAGUAUCCAUGUAAGAAAGCUGAUUUGACAUCUAAUUGGAAUACAUGCCAUGAAUUUUGUGCCGCUAACGCAAUUAGCAUUCUGAUAGUGUCGUGCCUUGCAACUGGAGCAAAAAUUUCAGUGUAGUCCACAUUGUACUCCUGCUUGUAUCCCUUAGCCACCAACCGUGCCUUAUACUUAUCAAUUUCACCAUUUUCUUUUAGCUUCGUCUUAUAGACCCAUUUGACACCAAUGGUUUUUUGCUUCCCAGGAAGAUCAACAAGCUCCCAAGUAUCGUUCUUUUCAAUAGCUUCUAUUUCAACAUCCAUCGCUUUUCUCCAUUUUUCUUCUCUAACAGCACUCUCAAAACUUGUCGGGUCGCAGUCUGCAAAUAAUGCAAAAUGAGUAAUUGCAUCAUCAUUAACAAUAUUAAUUCUUUUUACCUCAUAAUCCACCAUCCACGCGGGCUUUCUAUGAACACGACGAAGAGACUGAGUUGCUGCAUCAGUUUCUUCUAGAGCUGCUGGUAAAGAUUCAACAGUUGGUAAAAUUUCAGCAAGAGCUAAUGGAAUUUCAGUCGCUGCAGGAGCUGAGUUCUCUGCAGUUUCAGACAUUGCAGCUGCUUCUUCGACUCCAAUAUCAAAUACAAAUGGAGCAGAUUGCUACAUACUCCAGUCCCAAGUGCUUUCUUCAUAAAAAAUGACAUCUCUACUGAUUACGAUUUUCUUCGUCCGUGGAUUAAACAAUUUAUAUGCCUUAGAUGCUUCACUAACACCCACAAAGAUACACUUUUCGCUUUUGUCAUCAAGCUUCUUCCUUUUCUCGUCUGGAACAUGUGCAUAGGCAAUGCAACCAAAAAUUCGAAAGUGAUCUACAGAUGGUUUUCUUCCACUCCAAGCCUCCUCCGGCAUCAUGUUUUGAACAGCAAAGUUGGACAUCUAUUCAAUACAUGAACGCUCCAAUUUAUCGCUUCCGGCCAUAAGGUCUUUUCCAUUCUUCCUCUUGCUAGCAAACUCCGCACCAUAUUGAGAAUGGUUUUAUUCUUUCUCUCCGAUACACCAUUUUGUUGUGGUGUAUAAGCAGUGGUAAGCUCUCUUCGAAUUCCAUUAGAUUCACAAAAAUCUUUAAAGACUUUUGAGCAAUACUCGCCACCACGAUCAGUUCGAAGAGUCUUUAUGGCCUUUCCAGUUUCAUUUUCUACAUGAGCUUUGAAGGUUUUAAACACUCCAAAAGCUUCUGAUUUUUCCUGCAAAAAAUACACCAAAGUUUUCCGAGAGUAAUCAUCUGUAAAAGGUAAUGAAAUACCUUUUACCUCCAUUAGAAAUUGGUCUAAUUGGGCCACAAAUAUCUGAAUGCACCAGUUCCAAAAUAGUAUUUUCUCUCCACGACUUCCCUUUUGGAAAUUGAGAACGAUGUUGUUUGCCAACAACACAUUCUUCACAAACUUGGGAGGGGAUGAGAUUUUCUGGAAUGCCUAUCACCAUAUUUUUCUGUUGGAGAGUUUUUAAUCCACCAAAACUCAAGUGACCAUAUCUAAAAUGCCACAACUAGGAAAAAUCUUUCACUUCCGCCUUCAGACAUGAUUUAAUACUCUCAAUGUUCAAGGGAAAUAACCUGUUUGAGUUCAUUUUCACAACAACAAUAGCUCCUCUAGUAGGACUAGAAAUCUCACAAACACCUUUUCCAAUGAGAAUAAAAAACCCUUUCUCUUGCAACUGUCCGACACUCAAUAAAUUGCUUUUUAGAGCGGGAACAUAUAACACAUUUGAUAUUAUUUUCUUCAAAACCAUUCUUGGCUUUAAUUUUAAUAUCACCUUUUUCCAUUGCAUCCACAGUAGAGCAAUCACCAAAACUAACUUUAGAACGAAAGCCUUCAUUUAAAUAAGAAAAGCAAGACUUACUCCCACUCAUGUGAUUACUGCAGCCUGUGUCCAGAUACCAAACAUCUUGCAAAGGUUUUUCAUGUGCUUGUGUUGCCAUCAACAAGGUCUCAGUUUCCUUACUUUCAACAAAAUUUGACUUCUCGUCCUUCUCAUUAGGCAGCCUAGUAUAACAUUCGGAUUGAUAAUGAUCAAAUUUAUGACAUCGAUAACAUUCUACCUUUGAUUUGUCAAAAUUCUUUCCUCGGCCUUUGCCGUAGUCAUCAUUGACCCUAAAAUUUCUACUUCCAUUUCUGUUUCCACGGUCUCCUCUCCCUCUUCAUCUUCCUCUCCCUCUACAUCUUCCUCUAUAAUUGAAAGGAAUAAACGUAGAACCUUUCAGGUCCUGCUCUUCAGGAGUUGAAUUGCGAUUCAUCUUCUGUUCAUGCACUAGUAAGGAACUUUGCAAUUCGUCAAGCGACAACUCAUCUAUAUAUUUUGACUCUUCAAUGGAGCAAACGACAUAAUCAUACUUUGGCAUCAAAGAGCGUAGUAUCUUCUCAACAAUUAUGACAUCAUUCAUCUUCUCACCAUGGAAUCGCAUUUUGUUGCUGAUCUCCAUUGUUCUAGCAUAAUAACUCAUUACAGACUCUCCUUCCUUCAUUUGUAAGGUCUCAAAAUCCCUUCUCAAGGCUUGAAGUUGUGCACGCUUCACUCUGGCAGUGCCUUGAUAUUUUUUCUUCAUAGAAUCCCAAAUAUCCUUACAAAUUUCUUUACAAAGAAUAGUUUCUAGGAUGGGACGAUUGAUAGCCUGAAAGAGAUAGUUCUUCGCUUUCAAAUCUUUCAACUUUUUUGCUUCCAAUUCUGCCUUUUGAGCAUUCGUCAAAGUUUCGCCUUCCGCCGGAGUGUUGAUCCCGUCCUCAACAAUUGGCCAAUACUCCUUUGACUGUAAAAAAUUCUCCAUUAGCAUGAUCCGAUUGUCAUAAUGACCAUCAAAGCGUGAAAUCACUACUUGUAUGAAAGUACUAUCUGAUGCCAUGAGUUAAAACGAAAAGAGGAAAAAAAAGUUUAGCUAAUGCUAUUUUCUUUUCACUCUAGAAUCGCUGCUUCUUUCGUAUUACUGCAGAAUCUCACACUCGCUUUGAUACCACUGUAAACAAAAGCAAGAUAAUGAAACAGACAACAAACAAAAAUAGAGAAAACGAGUCGAAACGUUGAGAAGAAAGGGAACUACUUUGCUGCUAGUUUUGUGCUCUGCAACUGCAGAUUUUAUAUGACAAAUACAUAACGUUUGAAGCUAAAAAAAACUCGAACCACUAACUCCUAAAAAAUAGGAAGUAAAGCCAUGAUAAACUAGUCCCUAAAGACUAGGACAAAGCUGAAAUAACUUGAACUUAUUUGCUUAUAGGACUCUAUCUAACGGACUAUUUUUCUAACAUAUUGAACAACAAUGAGUUGCGUACACUAUUACUAUUUUACCAAGAAGUUAUUUGUCCAUAUUUUUUCAUGCUUUUAAGUUGACAUUCAAUUUUUCCAUUUCUUAUAUUUAACAAAUUUACUCAUUCUUGAAAAAUAAAUGUAUAGUAUGUGUUUGUAUUUUGUGAGAUUUCAUAUCGAUGAAUUGUUGAUAAUUUCCUAUUCUAGAUGCACUGUGACAAGGAAGAAUGAGGUGAGCUAAACGAAGAAACAAUCUCCAAUACUUCUGUCGUACUUCUUUAAAAAAGAAGAAGAUAGAGAAACUAAUCACAAGAUUGUAGUUGCGUUACAUUUGUAAAUCUGCAAUAAUAUCUAUUUAAUACAUAGAUUUUUAUUUUUAUUUUGAAAGUAGCUCAUAAAUAGAUGAGAUAUUAAAAAUUGUCUUUACAACAAUAAUGUCAUGUAAACAAUAUAAAACUCUUAUAGAUGUAAAAAAUGUGUCAUUUUGUAACCAAGUGACAUCAUUAAAUUUUGCACAACUUAAAGAACUUUGUUGUUAAAUGCAUGUAAACAAUAAGAUUCUAGAUUUGUACAUUGUGAGAGUUAAAUAUGCAAAGAUGAAGUGUAAACAACAGCAUGAAGUUUAUUAAGUAUAGUUGUGGAAAGAAGAAUGGUACUUGCUUGUGCUAGGUAAAAUUUGUUGGGAGUGUGAACAUCUUGUCUAUGAUACUGGAAUUUACUUUUAUAGCAAAAAAGUUUCAUUCACUUAAGUAUAUUCUUGCUUUGGGACUAUAUUACUUUUAAAAGUUCCCUCAUAAAAGGAGUUGGAAUUAUUUCAAAACAUAUACCCAUGUUCUUGUGCAACUCUCUCUACCAGUGAUGGUGAUGCAUCUUGCCUGUGAACUCUAUGAUUUAAUGGUUAGCAUGGCCUAAUGCAUGUUGUGUCGCUAAGACUUACUUUUUCUAAUCGUAUUGAUCAGAUUAAAGCAUAAUUAUUGUAAUUCUAGCAUCAUACAUGAUUAUCCUAUUAAUAGCCUUAUUUUCAUUAAUUCCCCAAUUUCCAAGAUAGUUUGGUUAAGACAAGUCAACCUUUAAACCUUAAGAUUAUGCUUGCAUUGGGUAUGUCUAUACAUGAUAUAUGAAUUCCUCUUACUCGAUCUCUUAUUCUCUAUCAUUUUUUUCUAAUUUCUGUUUUAAAUUCUUCCCAUGGUGUGUUGCUCUAUAUAUGGCCCACCAGGCACUGGGAAGACCUUGCAAAUGUUGUAGCACAUCAUACUACCAUGAUCUUCAUAUGGGUAGGCGGUAGCUGGUGGUGGUAUAAUGAUAGUAAAAUAGUUGAGCACUUAUGGAGUUAUCUUUAUUCAGUAAUUUACUUAUUUUAAUUCAAAGUUUUGAUGAUUGCAGGUAAAGAAGCAUUCAGGAAACAACUUAAUCUUACUUUCAAAUCAAAUGCCUAAUAGUAAUAAGUAGUUUAUGCCUUGCAAUACUUGAUUAUGACAAAAUUUUGUAUUAUUUUUGUAUUCUAGCAAAAUAGUUGACCCCUUCUCUCCCAAAUUAGAUCAUUACCCGAGUUUAUAAAAAUGUUUUAUUUAUCCUUGUGGAAUUAUGU